This is a long non-coding RNA of Salarias fasciatus (jewelled blenny), 381 nucleotides long. RefSeq lists it as uncharacterized. The record is from RefSeq and is a predicted model, not a curated record. The transcript has 4 exons. Lineage: Eukaryota; Metazoa; Chordata; Actinopteri; Blenniiformes; Blenniidae.
GCUGCUCACCUGGUAAAGCUGCUGGACUCACCUGCUCAGGGGGCGAUGAGGUCAGGUUGGUGGGAGGAGCCAGUCGCUGUGCAGGAAGACCGGAGCUGAAAGUUCUUGGUGAACAGAGACCUGUGGUGGGCGUUGGCUUCUCCAUGAAGACAGCAGCUCUCAUCUGUGAACAUCUGAACUGUGGCUCUGCUGUUUCUGUACAACCAACUGAUGUGUCAAUUCAAUCUAUGUGGAUAAUCAACUCAGACUGUGUUCAAUCUGGAUCUGAUCUGUGGAGCUGUGUGGCAUCACGGAGAUCCUCUCUCACCCUGAAACUCACCUGCUCAGACCUGCUGCUCCAUCCAGUCCUCUCCGUGUCCUCCUCCUCCUCCAUGCUCGGGG